RNAcentral lists this ribosomal RNA (495 nucleotides) under uncultured bacterium. RNAcentral's name for it is "partial 16S ribosomal RNA". It matches the Rfam family "Bacterial small subunit ribosomal RNA", at positions 28 to 507 of the family's 1533-position model. The record is from RNAcentral.
GAUGAACGCUGGCGGCGUGCCUAAUACAUGCAAGUAGAACGCUCAAUUAGUAGCUUUCUUUUCUGCAUGAGUUGCGAACGGGUGAGUAACGCGUAGUUAACCUUCCUGAUAGCGUGGGAUAACUAUUGGUAACGAUAGCUAACACCACAUGAUAACAUUUAUUGUUUGAUAACUGUUGAUAAUUGGCAACUGCUCCACUACCAGCUGGUCCUUCGUGGUCUUAGCUAGUUGUUGCGGUAACGGCUCAACACGGCGACGAUACAUAGCCGACCCGAGAGGGUGAUCGGCCAAAAUGGGAAUGAGACACGGCCCAGAGUCAUACGGGAGGAAGCAGUAGGGAAUCUUCGGCAAUGGACGGAAGUCUGACCGAGCAAAGCCGCGUGAGUGAAGAAGGGUUUCGGAUCGGAAAGCUCUGUUGUAAGAGAAGAACGAGUGUGAGAGUGGAAAGUUCACACUGUGACGGUAUCUUACCAGAAAGGGACGGCUAACUACGUG